This is a non-coding RNA of Salmonella enterica subsp. enterica serovar Newport, 108 nucleotides long. Lineage: Bacteria; Pseudomonadati; Pseudomonadota; Gammaproteobacteria; Enterobacterales; Enterobacteriaceae. The record is from Rfam.
AAAAAAGAAUUCAGAAUCAGGCCGGGACGCGGACGUCCCGUCAACACGGUCGUACAUCCAGCCGGUUGCCUGAUUCCUUGCAUUGAGUGAUGUACGGAGUUUAAGAGC